AAUUCUAAUUCAUUUUAGGAUAACCCUUUGAACUUAAGCAUAUCAGUAAAAGGAGGAAAAGAAACUAACAAGGAUUUCUUUAGUAGUGGCGAAUGAACAAGAAAAAACUCAUUAUGUAAUCUAUAUUCAUUAUAGAGAUGUUAAAAGUUAUUGUUGUCAUUCAAAUCAUAGAUACAUUAAAUUGUAGUAAAUGAUGACGAUAAAUAAACAAUGUAGAGUACGAUUGCUUGGUAGUGCAAUUGGAAUAUAGAUAGAAUAAAAUAUCUAAAGUUAAAUAUAAAUGA
RNAcentral lists this non-coding RNA (284 nucleotides) under Nosema bombycis CQ1. Its description in RNAcentral is "Eukaryotic large subunit ribosomal RNA". It matches the Rfam family "Eukaryotic large subunit ribosomal RNA", at positions 1 to 329 of the family's 3401-position model. The record is from Rfam by way of RNAcentral. Lineage: Eukaryota; Fungi; Microsporidia; Nosematidae.